UGAAGGUGCAGCUUUAGUUG
Molecule: unclassified non-coding RNA, 20 nt
Filed under: Mus musculus (house mouse)
Lineage: Eukaryota; Metazoa; Chordata; Mammalia; Rodentia; Muridae
Description: oocyte_clustered_small_RNA9308
Source: RNAcentral